GCGGGUUUGGUUUUGAUUAAUGCUCGGUCUCAAAUUUGGGAAACAGCUCCUUUCGUAGCUUUUCGAAUAGUUUGAGAGUUUACAAUUUAUCUUAACAUGGAGUGAUGGAAGGUUUGAAGGCGCAAGAGGAAGGUUGAGAGAACCGGCAAUGGCCGCCAUUAAGGUUUGUCUCUGGAACUGAAACACAGUCGUCUCGUCUCUUACAUUU
RNAcentral lists this unclassified non-coding RNA (208 nucleotides) under Hevea brasiliensis (rubber tree). Lineage: Eukaryota; Viridiplantae; Streptophyta; Magnoliopsida; Malpighiales; Euphorbiaceae. The record is from RNAcentral.